RNAcentral lists this small RNA (78 nucleotides) under Brenneria goodwinii. RNAcentral's name for it is "isrK Hfq binding RNA". It matches the Rfam family "isrK Hfq binding RNA". RNAcentral also lists the same sequence under 1 other name. Lineage: Bacteria; Pseudomonadati; Pseudomonadota; Gammaproteobacteria; Enterobacterales; Pectobacteriaceae. The record is from Rfam by way of RNAcentral.
GCACCUGCAAAAUCAGGUGCCGGGAUUGGUCUCCCGAAUACCAUACUGGCGACAUAUGACGCGCCUUGCGUCUUUUUU